This 4248-nucleotide long non-coding RNA is filed under the name Sus scrofa (pig). RNAcentral's name for it is "lncRNA (ENSSSCG00025031923.1)". The record is from RNAcentral. Lineage: Eukaryota; Metazoa; Chordata; Mammalia; Artiodactyla; Suidae.
GGCCGGGAGGAGCCCAGGGGCGGGGAGGCGUCCAUGUCCUCUGGGGGGUGGGGGGGGUCAGAGGAGACCCUGGGGUCAGAGAAGACCCUGGGGAGGCCCGCUGGAAUCACCUCCAGAAGAAGAGGCCUCCCCCAGGGCCUUCAGUGACCGACCUCAGGACCUCCGCGUGUCCUGGCCUUGGCUGAGGCCCGGCUUCCGCGCACUCGAAGACCAAGCUGCAUUUCUAGUCCCCAAGUCCCUGAAGAGAUGUGAGGAGAACUGGUGCCGGCCUCCUGGGGAGUCAGACCGGGCUGCUGAGGGCUGGGCUCCCGGAAUAAACCACCCACACUGCGUACUCCUCAGCCAAGCUCCGUCAGCUGCUUGACGCAAAGGCGGUGCGCACGCACUGAGAGAAAACCAGAGAAUAGAAAAGCUGCGGAGCUGGAGGAAGAAGACUGCCAGGCGGUGCCAGCAGCACUUGGCUGAACAUCCUUCCAAAGCUCUUCUGGGAUUCGGGGUUGAGACGACAGCAAGGAGGGGUUACAUGAGGUCGUUUUGAAGGAAAAUCAACCCCUGCACCAGGGAACCGCUGGCAGCAGGAAGCGCCAGGCUGGCUCUUGCUCAGGCUUCCUCCGGGCCCCCUGCAGGCUCUUGCCAGCGGUGACUUUUCUCCUUAAAGUCUUACGGACUCAGCCCACAAAACUCUCAACAUUGCAGGCAGCUACAAAUGUGAACAGCCACCUGCCACACCUCAGGAUGGAGGCCGACAGGGUCCACGGAGGAGCUGCCCCGGAGACCACCUAGAGGGUGCCCGUAUCUCUGGUCCGAACACCCCCGAGCUUCCUUCAAGGGCUUCCAAGAAGGCGACAAGGAGAAGGUGGGUUCCCCACCCUCUCAGCAGCCAUCCCUGCCGAUGAGCAAGCUGGCAGCACGGGAACCGGACACUGGGAGACCAAAGUCGCAAGGGAGUGACUGAGGGGGACCCUGCUGGCCUGACAAUGCCCAGAGCAGCUCAGUGCAGCCGCCCGGUCGAGGGCUGGCUCCCUGGUGCUAGAGUCACACCGGCCUCGUUUCUCAAAACGCUCGCUCCACCUCGGAGUUCGGCCACCUCUCCCCCGCCUGCCCCCCGAGGUCGCCGGCCGCCUUCCCGGACCCCUGCCUGCAUCGCGCCCCCCCCCCCCCCCCCNGUCCCAGUGCCCGGGUGCUGGGCGGGGUACCUUAGCCUUUUCCUGCAGCGCCCGCGGCGCAGGGAGGUGGGACUGACCUCGGGCUGGAGCUGAGCAAGCAGCGUCAUCAGAGAGAAGGUCGCCAAGGGCCCGCUCUCGGUCCCCCGAGGAGCGGGGCCCGUGGGCGGCAGGGUGGAGUGAGGGAGCAGCUUGUGUAAAGAAAUCAUUGAGAAAUUUCUAGCGUAACUGGAGGGAAUUAUAAACGACAUCGACUUGGAGCAUAAACUUGCUGCCUAGUUACGAGCCACAGCAAAGGUCUCCAGGACGCGUCUUACAGAACAAACAGAAGACAAGGGCGGGAGCUUCCCGAGCGCAGGGAGGGGCGCUCUGGAUGCCCAGGGGGUGGCCCUUCUUCAUUCUAACGCCACACGGGCCCUGCUUUCACCUGGGCCAACCUGAGGGGUCCUGGGCAACUGGGGGUCCUGACCUGGGGUCGAGGCUAGUUAAAGCACCUGGCAUGCUGACUUGGUUGUGACCUUCUGCUCGUCACACGAGUGAAAUGCAGAUUCCUGAAGUCUGUGUGGCACAGAGCCCCUGACCCUGGUGGAUCUCCUCUGGGAGCCACUGGGGCUCUGCCUCUGGGCCCUGAGCCUCGGGAACAAGCCCCACCCGGCCCCCAGCAGCACCUGGUCCUUCGCCACCACCUCCAGGGCAUGAGUGAGCUCCGGCCAGAGGGCCUCCCUCUGCACAGGAGUAUGUGCGGAGCCUGCUUGCCUGAGGAAGGGCGGUUGCAGGUGUUGGGGUGCAGCAGGUUUGGGGGGCCAGGCUCUGGUAAGAGUUCAGCCUCCCCUCGGACUGGGAAAAUGCCGAGGACAGUGCCAGCAGCGCUUUCCACGAGGUGGUGGCUGAAUCCAGGACUGGACCUGGAGACAGCUGACCCAGGGGUCCGGGCCCCUCUCUGGGCAGGGCAAUCCCAGGCACACCCUUAAUAGCCAGAAACACCCCCAGAUGUUGGCGAAUGCCCGGGAGUAAACGCCUGCCAGGGCAGCCGCUCCAGCCCCAUGAGGGGGCUGGUCUUUUCUCAAGGGCUGCUUCCUUCCAGCCAGAGUGGAAAUUGAAUCAGGACCAGCUGAAAAACUUGCAGAACCCAGUGGCAAAUCAAAACACGGGGCUCCUGGUUCGAAUAUGAUGUGAUGCCAGGUGUUGGGCCAGACGCGGGCCUGCUGGCCUUGGCCGCCUGCCCAUGAAGCUGGUUGGCGCUGAAUCAAAUACAAUGCCCCCGAAACAGUGAAUCACCAACAAGCUGCAGAAAUCUCUCAUAGCAAUGAUUUCAAUAGACUCUUUUAAACUUGGUGGCCCACGGGUGGCUGGUGUAGGGACCCCAGUCUGAGCUCUGCCCUGUGCCGAGUAGCUUCGCCUUUCCCAAAGCCUGGCCUCCACAGGACGAGAGGGGCCCAAGGCAGCGGCGUGGCAGCAGGAUGGGCCUCUCCUGGAAGCAGGUACCUUUUUAGGUGGUGUGUUCCUUGAAGGCAAGAAUGAUGUUUCACAAUAUACACCCAGUGCCUAUCACAGCUUCUUCUACUGUGGUUAAAACAAAAAAAAAAAAGAGCGUUACCAUAAACCCUCCGGCCAUUUCUAAGCUGCUUCAGGAAUGUAAAUAACAUUCACCUUGUUACUGAAUCAUCUCCAGAUCUUUGCAACCUCACAAAACUGCAACUGUCCCGUUAAACAACCCCUGCCACCACCUAGCCCUCAGGCCCCAGCAAACACCCUGCGAAAGAAUCUAUGCCACUUACUAAUCCAGGUGCCUCAUAAGAGUGGAAUGACACAGUCCUUGGGGUUUUUUGUAAAUGUACAUUUUUGGGUAACUUUUACUUCGCUUGAUGGCCUCAAAAUCUCUCCACGUUGCAGCACAUCGCAGAAAUCCCCCCUUUUUAUUUGUCGUGGUCACUCCUAUUAUCUUUCUUCUAGUUUAUUGACAUACAGUGUUCGGUAGGCUUAAGGCGUGUGGCACAAGGAGGUGACCCGCCCGCCUCAUGAAAUGACCGUCACGGUAAGUUUACUGGCCACCCGCGUGUCACACAGCUUCAAAGCCAAAGAGAAAGACCUUUGUGCCUGUGAUGAGAACUCUUUGGCGCCUCCGGCCGUGCUACUUCUAUCAGUGCCUGUGUGGUACGUCCUGUCACGAGCACUUACCCGUCUUAGAACUGGAAGUUUGUACCUUCAGAUGAACCGCACCCAACCCUCUCUCCCCUCACCCCUGGGGACCCACAAAUCCAAUCUCUUUUUUAGGCGUUCGUUCGUUUGCUUUUGAAGCCCUUCCUUGCUCCACCUCCAGAAUGAGUCCACUGCACAUACGCGCCGCCUUUUGCUUAUCCAUCCACUUGUCUCCGGACCCUGGAGGCGCUGCCAUGGUUCAGCCGUCACGUUGCUCUGAACAUGGGUGUACAACCAGUAGCUUUGUAAGAGCCUGCUUUCAUUUCUUAGGGCAUCAGAGCCAGCCGUGGGCUUGCCGCAUCGUAUGAUAAUCCUGCUUUAACGUUUCAGGACGCCGCCACCCCAUUUUCCACAGCAUCCGCACCGUCUUUCAGCCCACCUACAGCGCACAGUCCGCCUCUCCAGCUCCUCAACGUUCUCACCAACACGUGCUGUUUUCUGCUGUUUUUAUAUUAACUAUCCUAAUAAGUGCGAGGUGAUCUUAUGGUGGAUUUGAUUUGCAUUUUCCUCAUGAUUAGUGAUAUUGAGCAUCUGGUUUUUUUGUUUGGUUUUGGUUUUUUUUGUUUGGUUUUAUUUUGCUUUUUAGGGCCACAGCCACGGCAUAUGGAGGUUCCUAGGCUAGGGGUCCAAUCGGAGCUGCAGCUGCAGGCCACAGCCACAGCCACAGCCACAGAACAUCGGAUCUGCCACCUACACCACAGCUCAUGGCCACGCUGGAUCCUUAACCCACUGAGUGAGGCCAGGGAUCGAACCCCCAACCUCCUGGUUCUUAGUCGGAUUCAUUUCUGCUGCACCACGAUGGGAACUGUGCUAUUGAGCAUCUGUUCAUGUGUCUGUUGGCCAUUCGUAUAUCUUCGUUGGAGAGAUGUUUAUUCAGGUCCUUUGC